Molecule: ribosomal RNA, 254 nt
Filed under: uncultured bacterium
Lineage: Bacteria
Description: partial 16S ribosomal RNA
Rfam family: Bacterial small subunit ribosomal RNA
Source: RNAcentral
UACAGAGGUCUCAAGCGUUGUUCGGAUUCAUUGGGCGUAAAGGGCGCGUAGGCGGCCACGACAAGUCAGUUGUGAAAUCUCUGGGCUUAACUCAGAACGGUCAACUGAUACUGUCGGGCUAGAGUGCAGAAGGGGCAACUGGAAUUCUCGGUGUAGCGGUGAAAUGCGUAGAUAUCGAGAGGAACACCUGCGGCGAAGGCGGGUUGCUGGGCUGACACUGACGCUGAUGCGCGAAAGCUAGGGUAGCAAACGGG